Molecule: ribosomal RNA, 707 nt
Filed under: uncultured bacterium
Lineage: Bacteria
Description: bacterial SSU rRNA
Rfam family: Bacterial small subunit ribosomal RNA
Source: RNAcentral
AUGCAGUCGAACGGCAGCACGGGAGCAAUCCUGGUGGCGAGUGGCGAACGGGUGAGUAAUAUAUCGGAAUGUGCCCAGUCGUGGGGGAUAACGCAGCGAAAGCUGUGCUGAUACCGCAUACGAUCUCUGGAUGAAAGCGGGGGACUCGUAAGAGCCUCGCGCGAUUGGAGCGGCCGACAUCAGAUUAGCUAGUUGGUGAGGUAAAGGCCCACCAAGGCGACGAUCUGUAGCUGGUCUGAGAGGACGACCAGCCACACUGGAACUGAGACACGGUCCAGACUCCUACGGGAGGCAGCAGUGGGGAAUUUUGGACAAUGGGCGCAAGCCUGAUCCAGCAAUGCCGCGUGCAGGAUGGAGGCCUUCGGGUUGUAAACUGCUUUUGUACGGAACGAAAAGGUCUGCCUUAAUACGGUGGGCCCAUGACGGUACCGUAAGAAUAAGCACCGGCUAACUACGUGCCAGCAGCCGCGGUAAUACGUAGGGUGCGAGCGUUAAUCGGAAUUACUGGGCGUAAAGCGUGCGCAGGCGGUUAUAUAAGACAGAUGUGAAAUCCCCGGGCUCAACCUGGGACCUGCAUUUGAGACUGUAUAGCUAGAGUACGGUAGAGGGGGAUGGAAUUCCGCGUGUAGCAGUGAAAUGCGUAGAUAUGCGGAGGAACACCGAUGGCGAAGGCAAUCCCCUGGACCUGUACUGACGCUCAUGCACGA